This 229-nucleotide ribosomal RNA is filed under the name uncultured bacterium. RNAcentral describes it as "partial 16S ribosomal RNA". It matches the Rfam family "Bacterial small subunit ribosomal RNA", at positions 107 to 334 of the family's 1533-position model. The record is from RNAcentral.
UGAGUAACACGUAUGCAAUCCACCUGUAACAGGGGAUAACCCGGAGAAAUCCGGACUAAUACCCCAUAAUAUGGGCGCUCCGCAUGGAGAGUCCAUUAAAGAGAGCAAUCUUGGUUACAGACGAGCAUGCGCUCCAUUAGCCAGUUGGCGGGGUAACGGCCCACCAAGGCGACGAUGGAUAGGGGUUCUGAGAGGAAGGUCCCCACAUUAGAACUGAGACACGGUCCAA